CGCAUCGUUUCUUGAUUCUGAAACUAGACUUACAUACGUUCUGGAACAUGUAAGGUUUGUGCCUUAGUUACUUCUAGGAAAACUCAGUUUCGGUUCUGAAGUUAAUGGUUUGUUAACUCUGGAAAUCUGGGUAGGUUUUGGAGCUAUGUUAUUCAUCAAUGUUGUCAUAGUUAAAUGUACUUACUAGCUAUGGGUCCUUAUGAGUCUUAAAGAUUGUUGAGUUGGUGAUGUUUUGGCGCAAGAAUCAUCGAAAAAUAUUAAGUGUACGAUUUUUAGUGAUCUUUCGAUCACAGACAGUUCUGCUGAAUUUUGUAUUUUCUGCAUCGACACAUCUUGGAAAAAUAGGCAUAUCUUUUAGCACAUGUAUCGGAUUUGCGAACCGGUUUGUGAUUUGGAAACUAGACUCUUGUACCUUUCAGAACAUGUAGGGUUUGUACCUUGAAAUUUCGUAGGUAAAUACAUCUUUUGGUUCAAACUUGGCUGAUCUGCAGAAACUGCAGAUUUGUGUUUCUAAUCGUGCAUCUUUGGACAGUCGUAACUUUGUCAUUCAAAAUCUAUUUAGGACAAACUCUAUAUCGAUAUUGGUGUACUGAAAGUCUACUUUCUAAUGAUGGCGGUUUCAUGAUCCAACUUUGAUCCUAUAAAAUGCUACAGUCUUUUAAAAACAGGCUGGUUGUAGAAUGUCUUGUUAUUUUGGGAGUGUUGUUGUGUUUGAACUUCAUGUGUGUUAUUCUUUGGCCAUUGUUUAGUUCCUUAUGAGCUUAUUAUUCUUGUGUUGAUCGUUCGUUGAACUUAUUACUAAUACGGUUAAACGUGUGAUUAGGUAACGAGCUGAGUAAUCGGGAGGUGCCAAAACCGUAAGUUGGCAUACUUCGGUCGACUCACAGAUAGCAGGGGUUUGUAGGAUGGUCCACUACCGGUCGGCGUUUUGGGGUUGGCUUUGAGGAUGUUGAUUGUGUUGGUGGUAGUGAAUUGUCUUGUAUAUAUAAUCGACUCGUUUUGUAAAGGAUGUUUUGCACUUUAGUUUGCCAAGUAUGUAAAGUUAUGGGUAUAACGUCGACUCUUUUAAUAAUAUUAAUGUUAAGUCUUCCGCUGGUUUAUUCUGAGUUAA
Rhododendron vialii is the source of this 1111-nucleotide long non-coding RNA. RefSeq lists it as uncharacterized. The record is from RefSeq and is a predicted model, not a curated record. NCBI's taxonomy places the organism in Eukaryota, Viridiplantae, Streptophyta, Magnoliopsida, Ericales, Ericaceae. The transcript is spliced from 2 exons.